RNAcentral lists this ribosomal RNA (572 nucleotides) under Cyrtobagous salviniae. Its description in RNAcentral is "eukaryotic LSU rRNA". It matches the Rfam family "Eukaryotic large subunit ribosomal RNA", at positions 287 to 648 of the family's 3401-position model. The record is from RNAcentral. Lineage: Eukaryota; Metazoa; Arthropoda; Insecta; Coleoptera; Erirhinidae.
CCUAAGUGGGUGGUAAACUCCAUCUAAGGCUAAAUAUGACCACGAGACCGAUAGCGAACAAGUACCGUGAGGGAAAGUUGAAAAGCACUUUGAAGAGAGAGUUCAAGAGUACGUGAAACCGUUUAGGGGUAAACCUGAGAAACCCGAAAGGUCGAAGGGAGAAAUUCAUUCGCGUUUCGCAGUUGGCGUGAAGCGGUCGAGUGACGGGGAACGUUCUUCGCGUUUCCUGCGCCUUCUGUUUUUCGAUCCGAUUGCGAACGCGUGCACUUUUCUCCUGGUAGGACGUCGCGAUCCGUUGAGUGUCGGUUUACGGCYCACGGUGGAGCCCGUACGUACGGUUCAUCCCGUUACGGUACGGACCCGUGGUGUGUCCCGACUGACUCGCUCGACGGUAUACGAAAGGUUUUAGGCCGCUCUUUUUAUCGAGCGUUCGGCUCGUUACAAGCGCGCCAGAUGUGCUGCCGGAAAUCGGACCUAGUGCCGGUCCUGGCCUCUGGUGACUGUUGGUGGCGAAGUUCUCGAACAGACCUUUAACCGAUCUGCGACGCUAUAGCUUUGGGUACUUUCAGGAC